RNAcentral lists this unclassified non-coding RNA (352 nucleotides) under soil metagenome. RNAcentral describes it as "partial contains 5.8S ribosomal RNA, internal transcribed spacer 2, and large subunit ribosomal RNA". The stretch from base 1 to 120 matches the Rfam family "5.8S ribosomal RNA", at positions 35 to 154 of the family's 154-position model. The record is from RNAcentral.
GAUGAAGAACGUAGCGAAAUGCGAUAAGUAGUGUGAAUUGCGGAAUUCAGUGAAUCAUCGAAUCUUUGAACGCACAUUGCGCCCGCCAGUAUUCUGGCGGGCAUGCCUGUUCGAGCGUCAUUACAACCCUCAGGCCCCCGGGCCUGGCGUUGGGGAUCGGCGGAAGCCCCCUGUGGGCACACGCCGUCCCUCAAAUACAGUGGCGGUCCCGCCGCAGCUUCCAUUGCGUAGUAGCUAACACCUCGCAACUGGAGAGCGGCGCGGCCAUGCCGUAAAACACCCAACUUCUGAAUGUUGACCUCGAAUCAGGUAGGAAUACCCGCUGAACUUAAGCAUAUCAAUAAGCGGAGGA